Molecule: unclassified non-coding RNA, 425 nt
Filed under: soil metagenome
Description: partial contains 5.8S ribosomal RNA, internal transcribed spacer 2, and large subunit ribosomal RNA
Rfam family: 5.8S ribosomal RNA (bases 1-120)
Source: RNAcentral
GAUGAAGAACGUAGCGAAAUGCGAUAAGUAGUGUGAAUUGCAGAAUUCCGUGAAUCAUCGAAUCUUUGAACGCACAUUGCGCCUUCUGGUAUUCCGGUAGGCAUGCCUGUUCGAGAGUCUUUAACAACCGUUUCGAUCCCUUUCUUUCAGAAAUUACAAAGAGGAAAAGGGUUUGGUUAUGGUGGAGGAGGGAAAGGGAGCGUUUAGCCUGUAAAAAAAGAGGCUGUGUUCCGCCUCCCCCCCAAAAUUGUACAGGCGGUCGUGUGCGCCCACGCAUCGAGGUGUUGUAAAAGCUGCCACGGCACUUUUCACCUGUGCAGUGCGAGAUUGGCCAGCCGGUUUAAAAACCCCUCCAAACAAUCAAAGGUUGACCUCGGAUCAGGUAGGGAUACCCGCUGAACUUAAGCAUAUCAAUAAGCGGAGGA